RNAcentral lists this ribosomal RNA (395 nucleotides) under uncultured bacterium. RNAcentral's name for it is "bacterial SSU rRNA". It matches the Rfam family "Bacterial small subunit ribosomal RNA", at positions 29 to 431 of the family's 1533-position model. The record is from RNAcentral.
AACGAACGCUGGCGGCGUGGAUAAGACAUGCAAGUCGAACGGGAGAAUUGCUAGCUUGCUAAUAAUUCUCUAGUGGCGCACGGGUGAGUAACACGUGAGUAACCUGCCUCUUAGUGGGGGAUAGCCCUGGGAAACCGGGAUUAAUACCGCAUACGAUUGAAAGAUCAAAGCAGCAAUGCGCUGGGAGAUGGGCUCGCGGCCUAUUAGUUAGUUGGUGAGGUAACGGCUCACCAAGGCGAUGACGGGUAGCCGGUCUGAGAGGAUGUCCGGCCACACUGGAACUGAGACACGGUCCAGACACCUACGGGUGGCAGCAGUCGAGAAUCAUUCACAAUGGGGGCAACCCUGAUGGUGCGACGCCGCGUGGGGGAAUGAAGGUCUUCGGAUUGUAAACC